This 72-nucleotide transfer RNA is filed under the name Isopachys gyldenstolpei. Its description in RNAcentral is "tRNA-Trp". The record is from RNAcentral. Lineage: Eukaryota; Metazoa; Chordata; Lepidosauria; Squamata; Scincidae.
AGGGACUUAGGUUAGACACAAACCAGUGACCUUCAAAGUCACAAACAAGGACUAAAACACCCUUAGCCCCUG